CCUACGUGUGGCAGCAGUGGGGAAUAUUGCACAAUGGGGGGAACCCUGAUGCCGCGACGCCGCGUGAGUGAAGAAGUAUUUCGGUACGUAAAGCUCUAUCAGCAGGGAAGAAAAUGACGGUCCCUGACUAAGAAGCCCCUGCUAACUACGUGCCAGCAGCCGCGGUCAGACGUAGGGUGAAAGAGUGAGCCGGAUUUACUGGGGGUAAAGGGAGCGUAGACGGCAGAGCAAGUCUGAAGUGAAAGCCCGCGGCCCAACUGCGGGACUGCUUUGGAAACUGCGCGGCUAGAGUGCUGGAGAGGUAAGCGGAAUUCCUAGUGUAGCGGUGAAAUGCGUAGAUAGUAGGAGGAACACCAGUGGCGAAGGCGGCUUACUGGACAGUAACUGACGUUGAGGCUCGAAAGCGUGGGGAGCAAACAGGAUUAGAUACCCGUGUAGUC
This 440-nucleotide ribosomal RNA is filed under the name uncultured bacterium. Its description in RNAcentral is "partial 16S ribosomal RNA". It matches the Rfam family "Bacterial small subunit ribosomal RNA", at positions 338 to 795 of the family's 1533-position model. The record is from RNAcentral.